AAUGGAUUGAGUCUUAUUUAGAAUUUGAUUAUGGUUUGUGAAGUGAUAUAAUGAUAUUAUUUAAGUUUAAUUUAUUUAGAUGGGCAAUGUUUUUUUACCCUCUCAAUUUGUUAUGUGUAAAAAAUUGGUUCCAGAAUAAUCGGCUAUGCUAGUUAUGUUUAAACUUUAUUUUUGUUGUAAGUGCAGUUUGAUAGUUUUUUAUAAUUGAAUUUAUUUUUGGUUAAAUUGAAAUUUUUUUUGUUGUUUUUGCUGUGUUUUUUAAAUUUUGUUUAACGAAUUAGAUUAGUACCUAAUUAGUCAAAAGUUAUAAAUUUCAGGAGUAAAGUGUAGUUUAAACUGAAAGAAUAUUGGCAGAUUUUCUAAAUUAUCUUUGGAGGUUGAGUGAUAAUUGAGAACCCUCAUUGACUAUUUUUUUUUUGGCUCAUGUAUGAUCGUUUAUUUUAUGUUUAAGAUGUAAAAGUUUAGUUUUUUGUUGUUAAAAUAGAUAUAUAUUUGGUUUAUAAAUUUAGUUUUAUUUGACCUACAAUAUUUUGUUAUUGUGGAUUAAUAAGGUAGUAUUAUUAUGAAAAUGUAAAAGACAGUAAAAAAAAUUUUAUGUUUUUUUGAAGAUUACUUAGAAAUGGUACAAAUCAUCCAUCAAUUGCCUAAAGGGGAGUAAGUUGUAGUAAAGUAGGUUUAGGGGAACCUGAACCUAGUAUUU
This 700-nucleotide non-coding RNA is filed under the name Metastrongylus salmi. Lineage: Eukaryota; Metazoa; Nematoda; Chromadorea; Rhabditida; Metastrongylidae. The record is from RNAcentral.